Long non-coding RNA from Myxocyprinus asiaticus (Chinese sucker), 1201 nucleotides. RefSeq lists it as uncharacterized. The record is from RefSeq and is a predicted model, not a curated record. Lineage: Eukaryota; Metazoa; Chordata; Actinopteri; Cypriniformes; Catostomidae. The transcript has 2 exons.
ACACUGUUGGCUUUCUUAGCGGUGUAUAGUAAACAGACACGCAGAUCUGCAUUCAACAUGGUUUAUGAAACAUCAUCUUUGGAAAUAAAUAAAUAAAGGCAUCAUUGGAGGUUAUGCAGGUACAUAUGAGUGGAGGUUUACAUGGAGACAAGAAACACUGCAUUGUCACAAUCUCGGUAAAGAAAGAAGCAGAUUUUAUUACCGUCUCUUCAGUGCAACAUCACAGCAACAAGUGAAUGAUUUUCUUACUCUUUUACUAUAAAUACUGAUGUUAGAAAAUUAUCCGACAUUGGCACAUAAUUCUGCUGUACAUCCUGUGGUUGUGUGAAAGUUAAUAAGCCCAUAUCACUAGAUUCUGGUAUUAUAACCUUCUAGUAAUUUACAUUGCGGUCAAUGCCAGCGGAACAUUUUCACAUUCACCGGAAAUGCAGCCUCUGCUUACUUCCGCGUUGCAAAAUAAGGUGGAUACUUUAUAUGAUGAUCUCAGAGAUGGGUGUGUUAAUGUGUGUUAGAAAAUCAAACAUGAAAUAGACACAAAAAUAUAUUUUUUAUGAGUUUAUAACUUUGGUAAUAGUGACAGUUUACAAAAGCACAUUGACUAUUGAACUUAUUUUGAAAAAAUCAGAAAAUAAGUUUAUUAACAGACAGACACAAUAUCAGAAUAAUAGGGUGAAUUAGGGUAAUCUGGUACCCAGAUUACCGGAUUCACCCUAUGAGAAAUAGGAUGUUGUCACUGUAUUAUGGCAAUUAUGACAAUUUUACAUUUUCCUCUAACAAGUUUAAAAAAAUCCUAACAUCCACUCUUGAUUUGGGGAAACUACAGAAAAGUAAAAAAGAAACUUUAUAUCAUUAAAGAAGUUUAUAAAUAAUGAAAUUAGCUCUGCUGUAGAAUUUAGCUUACAGUAUAUAGACAAAAUCACAUAAUGGAAAUAGUUUUCCGAACAUAGGUUUGUAAAGAAAUUAUUACUGCGAACAUCUGUGAUGUUUACCAUCGAUUUGCACAGGAUAAAAGAUGUCUGCAUAAAUCGCAGAGAUGGGUGUGUAUACUGAAUUUAUAUACUGCUGUUAUGCGUAACUGACCGUCAGAAAAUGUAUUUAGCUGUGCUGAUUAUUUAUGAAGGGAAAACAUGAUCAUAUAUUGUAUCUGGGAUUAUUGGAAGAAAUUGAUUGGAAUAUCUGUCUAAAAAAAAAAAAAACAGAA